UACGAAGGGGGCUAGCGUUGCUCGGAAUGACUGGGCGUAAAGGGCGCGUAGGCGGACUGCACAGUCCGAUGUGAAAUUCCUGGGCUCAACCUGGGGGCUGCAUUGGAUACGUAUGGUCUUGAGUGGGGAAGAGGGUCGUGGAAUUCCCAGUGUAGAGGUGAAAUUCGUAGAUAUUGGGAAGAACACCGGUGGCGAAGGCGGCGACCUGGUCCUUAACUGACGCUGAGGCGCGAAAGCGUGGGGAGCAAACAGG
RNAcentral lists this ribosomal RNA (253 nucleotides) under uncultured bacterium. RNAcentral's name for it is "partial 16S ribosomal RNA". It matches the Rfam family "Bacterial small subunit ribosomal RNA", at positions 524 to 776 of the family's 1533-position model. The record is from RNAcentral.